RNAcentral lists this microRNA precursor (148 nucleotides) under Callithrix jacchus (white-tufted-ear marmoset). RNAcentral's name for it is "microRNA cja-mir-363 precursor". Its record names the gene cja-mir-363. The stretch from base 37 to 116 matches the Rfam family "mir-363 microRNA precursor family". The record is from miRBase by way of RNAcentral. Lineage: Eukaryota; Metazoa; Chordata; Mammalia; Primates; Cebidae.
GUUCUGAUAUUUAGGCAUUGUAAAAUGAUCUGUUUUGCUGUUGUCGGGUGGAUCACGAUGCAAUUUUGAUUAGUAUCAUAGGAGAAAAAUUGCACGGUAUCCAUCUGUAAACCGCAGGACCUUUGUUGGCGACAUUCCUCAUCAGCAC